This 253-nucleotide ribosomal RNA is filed under the name uncultured bacterium. Its description in RNAcentral is "partial 16S ribosomal RNA". It matches the Rfam family "Bacterial small subunit ribosomal RNA", at positions 524 to 776 of the family's 1533-position model. The record is from RNAcentral.
UACGUAGGGUGCGAGCGUUAAUCGGAAUUACUGGGCGUAAAGCGUGCGCAGGCGGUUUUGUAAGACAGAGGUGAAAUCCCCGGGCUCAACCUGGGAACUGCCUUUGUGACUGCAAGGCUUGAGUGCGGCAGAGGGGGAUGGAAUUCCGCGUGUAGCAGUGAAAUGCGUAGAUAUGCGGAGGAACACCGAUGGCGAAGGCAAUCCCCUGGGCCUGCACUGACGCUCAUGCACGAAAGCGUGGGGAGCGAACAGG